Fukomys damarensis (Damara mole-rat) is the source of this 505-nucleotide long non-coding RNA. RefSeq lists it as uncharacterized. The transcript has 3 exons. NCBI's taxonomy places the organism in Eukaryota, Metazoa, Chordata, Mammalia, Rodentia, Bathyergidae. The record is from RefSeq and is a predicted model, not a curated record.
GGGAAUCUUACUGCAGGCUCAGUCAUAUAAUUUCUCCCAAUACCUGGCAGGCAACUCCAGCCAUAUCCUGAGCUCACAAGAGACAUUUUCCUUCAUCCUAGACCACAUAUUGUUUUGGAAGAUCGUGGAGAAGACUGAGACUCCCCAGAGGACUGUGCUCUAAUCCCGUCAUAUUUCUUCAAAUGCUGGAAAGUGUGAGGUUCCAUGAAUGUCAUGCCCGAGAUGACAAGUCUUUAUUCCUACCUGCAACAUAUCUUUCUGUUUACAGAUUUGUCAGAUGCAAAUUGUCGUGAAGGAUAUUCUUGAAGUGAUGCAAAUAUUUUAAAACUGGAUUAUUGAGUUGGUUGCACAACUUGGUAAAGUAACUAAAAACCAGUGAAUUGUAAACUUGAAGUAAAUGAGUUUUACAGUCCAUAAAUUAUACUUGAAUAAUGUUAGAAAUAACAAAAAAAGUGAGCUCAUUAUAAGUAAGGGCUGGUAAGAAGACUGAUAUGACUUCAGCAGU